RNAcentral lists this long non-coding RNA (243 nucleotides) under Durio zibethinus. Its description in RNAcentral is "long non-coding RNA (DZIB_LNC000760)". Lineage: Eukaryota; Viridiplantae; Streptophyta; Magnoliopsida; Malvales; Malvaceae. The record is from RNAcentral.
UUUAAAAAAUAAAUCCAUUUGCUAAACCAGUUUAAACAGUUUAGAUUAUAUACAUAAUUAUUUAUUUCAAAUUGUUAUGACUUUUUGUUUUGUCCUAAAAUAAUUAUAGCUUAUACAAGCUUCUUUGGAAUAGAAUAAAACUAAUUUAUUAAUAUUUUAAAAAUUUAUAAGUAAGAGGUUUAAAAAAUAAUUCUAUUUACGAAAUCAGUUCAAAUAAUUAUAACUAUUUAAACAAUUAUCUAU